GUCCGGGAACCUGACAAUAAAGACCUGCGAACCUUGUCAGGACCGAAAGGUAGCAGCAAUAAGCAGAUAUCUUUAUGUGUUCGGGAUUUCCCGGGCCCC
RNAcentral lists this signal recognition particle RNA (99 nucleotides) under Candidatus Aminicenantota bacterium. Its description in RNAcentral is "Candidatus Aminicenantes bacterium signal recognition particle sRNA small type". It matches the Rfam family "Bacterial small signal recognition particle RNA". Rfam says of the family: The signal recognition particle (SRP) is a universally conserved ribonucleoprotein involved in the co-translational targeting of proteins to membranes. Archaeal SRP consists of a 7S RNA and homologues of the eukaryotic SRP19 and SRP54 proteins. Lineage: Bacteria; Candidatus Aminicenantota. The record is from RNAcentral.